This 406-nucleotide ribosomal RNA is filed under the name uncultured bacterium. RNAcentral describes it as "partial 16S ribosomal RNA". It matches the Rfam family "Bacterial small subunit ribosomal RNA", at positions 29 to 526 of the family's 1533-position model. The record is from RNAcentral.
AUUGAACGCUGGCGGCAGGCCUAACACAUGCAAGUCGCACGAGUGGCGGACGGGUGAGUAAUGUCUGGGAAACUGCCUGAUGGAGGGGGCUAACUACUGGAAACGGUAGCUAAUACCGCAUACCAUCGGAUGUGCCCAGAGGGGAUUCACUAGUAGGUGGGGUAACGGCUCACCUAGGCGACGAUCCCUAGCUGGUCUGAGAGGAUGACAAGCGAGACUGGGACUGAGAAACGGUGAAGACUCCGAAGGGAGGCAGCAGUGGGGAAUAUUGGACAAGGGGCGCAAGCCUGAUGCAGCCAGGCCGCGUGUAUGAAGAAGGCCUUCGGGUUGUAAAGUAAUUUCAGCGGGGAGGCGUGACCCGCAGAAGAAGCACCGGCUAGCUCCGGGCCAGCAGCCGCGGUAAUAC